RNAcentral lists this unclassified non-coding RNA (307 nucleotides) under plant metagenome. RNAcentral's name for it is "partial contains 5.8S ribosomal RNA, internal transcribed spacer 2, and large subunit ribosomal RNA". The stretch from base 1 to 105 matches the Rfam family "5.8S ribosomal RNA", at positions 50 to 154 of the family's 154-position model. The record is from RNAcentral.
GAAAUGCGAUAAGUAGUGUGAAUUGCAGAAUUCAGUGAAUCAUCGAAUCUUUGACCGCACAUUGCGCCCCUCGGUAUUCCGUGGGGCAUGCCUGUUCGAGCGUCAUCUACACCCUCAAGCUCUGCUUGGUGUUGGGCGUCUGUCCCGCCUCCGCGCGCGGACUCGCCCCAAAUGCAUUGGCAGCGGUUCCUUGCCCCCCUCUUUGCGCAGCACAUUGCCAUUCGAGGCGGCGGCGGCCCGCGUCCAACAAGCUCAACCCCCCCGUCUUUGACCUCGGAUCAGGUAGGGAUACCCGCUGAACUUAAGC